AACUUUCAACAAUGGAUCUCUUGGUUCUGGCAUCGAUGAAGAACGCAGCGAAAUGCGAUAAGUAGUGUGAAUUGCAGACUUUAGUGAAUCAUCGAAUUUUUGAACGCACAUUGCGCCCCUUGGUAUUCCAUUGGGCAUGCCUGUUCGAGCGUCAUUUACACCG
This 163-nucleotide ribosomal RNA is filed under the name Gregarithecium bambusae. RNAcentral's name for it is "Gregarithecium sp. DQD-2016a 5.8S ribosomal RNA". It matches the Rfam family "5.8S ribosomal RNA". Rfam says of the family: 5.8S ribosomal RNA (5.8S rRNA) is a component of the large subunit of the eukaryotic ribosome. It is transcribed by RNA polymerase I as part of the 45S precursor that also contains 18S and 28S rRNA. The record is from RNAcentral. Lineage: Eukaryota; Fungi; Ascomycota; Dothideomycetes; Pleosporales; Dictyosporiaceae.